Hordeum vulgare subsp. vulgare (domesticated barley) is the source of this 5767-nucleotide long non-coding RNA. RefSeq lists it as uncharacterized. The transcript has 2 exons. The record is from RefSeq and is a predicted model, not a curated record. NCBI's taxonomy places the organism in Eukaryota, Viridiplantae, Streptophyta, Magnoliopsida, Poales, Poaceae.
ACACGUAUCCUCCACGGAGAGCAUUACCCGCGGCGAAGAAGCCGUGUCCGGUAAGCAACCGGUUGGCGGGCGCCAGGCCGGCCACCGCCUCCGCCUCCGGCUAUAAAAGGCGCCCAGGUGCGCCCUUUCCACCCCGCGCGCUGCCCUCCUCCCUCUCUCUUGGAGCUCUCGUUCGGACCGGCCGCGCCGCCGGUGUCGAUCGCCUGAGUCGCCUCCUCGCGUCUUCGCGACUGUUCCCUUCCCCUUAUCCAUCAAAUCUCGAUUCGUUUCGAAUCGCGUUUGAUUUAUCUCCUCGCGGCUUUGCUUCCUGUGCGCUCGCAGGGGAUCCGGCCCGCCUCCGCGCGACCUCGGGGAGCGAGCGAUCGAUCGAUCGGGGGAUUCCGUCGAUUUUGCUCUGAUUUCUGUGUGAUGAGAGGGCCGAAGCAAGGUCAGUUUCCCGUGCUCGAUCGGUCAGAUCGGUUCCUUGGUUCCGUCACCUGCCUGCCUUCCUCGGCGAUUUCAGAUUUGGAUCCAGUUGGCCGGCUCUCGCCCGUGCGGCCUGCCCCCGAUCCAGCCCUCUCGUCACGGGUUCCGUCGUCAUCGGUUAAUAAUACGAGGUGGAUUCGACGCCCUCGUGGAUUCUAAAUUUUACCGGCUGAUCCCGCUUUUGGUAUGUGUUUGUGCUCUCAUCCUAGAUGCAGCAGAAGCAGAGGCAAGGGACGCUCGGUAGUUCGCAAGAGAUGAUAGAUAAAAAGGGUGGAGGUUUGGUUUCUGUUAUGGUUAUUUUGAUUCAUUGGUCACGGUUCAGCGGUUACUCUGAUUGAUAUGGACAGAUCUUCUCGGAUGAUCAAGCUUUGGAUCUCACCAGUCUGCAAUUGGAUAAUAAUAAUUCAACCCCUCCCGAUUUAUUUCUUUGGUUUGCACAGCACAGUUAAUCUACAACUCAUCUGAUUUAGAUUCGUUCCCUGAUGGUUCUCCAGAAAAUGGGAUGACACGGCUUAGCGGGACCACCUAUCUUCGGCUGAUUUGUGUUUGGAUGAAUAUCACUACUCCUAUCUCUAUUUAAUCCCUUACUCUCCACCGUUUAAUUUUAGCCUCCAACAAUUCUAAUUUGGAUUUGGUCUUCACUGUCCAGAAAUUGGGAUUACUCGGCUUAGUGGGAGCUGACUUAUUAUCUUCUUGUGUUUGGAUGAUCAACUCUCUCUCUCUCUCUCUCUCUCUCUCUUCAAUUUGUUCCCCUCCACAGUUCAAUUAUUCUCUCAACAAUUCUGAUUUGGAAUGGUUGCUGGUUGUCCAGAAACUGGAAUUACACGGGCCUAGCGGGUGCUCCUAUGUGGCCUCAGCAUGACGCUUCUUCUUUCCUGGCUCGAACUUUCUGGAACUUUCUUACUCAAUAUUAAUUAGAACUCAUCAGACAUUAGUUUUCCCUGUCUUAGUCAUUCUCAGCUCUUGCAGAUAGUGUCUUGCAAAGGAUAUAUAAUUGGAACCGGUGUUGUCUACCUGACCUUCCCAGUCGAGACAGGCUUACUUAUCCUACCUCCUCAUCGUUUCAUCCUAGUUUUCCCUAACUGAAGCAUUUAUGGAAAUGUAUCUUGCUUGUUGCAGGUCGUAGUUUACGAACUCAAGGCCACCAACCUGAUGCUGACUUUGCAGUUCUUCUAAAACCACUAUCUACUCAAUUCCUUAACUGAGAUAAUGUUAAUAAGAUCUCUUACUAGGCAGUAUUUUAAAUUCAGAUUUAGCUGCGAAUGGUGCAAGAAUGAAGCUUCAAACUAGUGGCAUAUCCUACAACCGGAAAAAUAAUAAUCUCCUACCCUCCUAUUUUUAUUUCAUUCAGCUACAUUUUCAUGUCUUUGAUUUGUGCUUAUGCCCUCCAUGUCGUUGCAGAUCUGUUUUGCCUAAGACAAUGCUUGUAGCGAGUCAAAAAUCUUCUGGUUUGCUAUCUAUCUCUUUGUUGUUUGAUUGGUUAUAUCUGUACUCUUGAUCCCUGUGUUGGUCUUCCUAUAAGUGUGUGGGUUGCACUGCAGGAUUUAUUUAGGAAGUCUGUGCCUACAUAUGCAAACCUUUGCUGUGUGUCUGUUGCGGUGUCAGGUCAGUAACUGUUGGUUCGUUUGUGUUCCCAUGCCGGAUGGGAUCUGAUAUGUGGAGAUCACUAUGAUGGUGUAUGUUCAAGGGGAUUUUAGGUAGGUCAGAUAACAUGCCUAUUGCCCGUGUGGUCUUCUAGUUCUCAUCACGAGUUCCAUCAUAAUCAAUAUAAGGUGGAUUAGAGGUAUUGGUGGAUUCUUAUUGUAGCAGUUGAUCUCGCUUUUGGUUUGUGUUUGUGCUCCUUCAGAUGCAGCAGAAGCAGGAAGUGGUUCCGCAUAGAUGAACCGAAAGGAUGGUGGUUUGGUUUCAUAUGGUCAGAGGUCUCCAGGGAUGAUGUUUGGUGUUGGACUGAAGUUUUGGAUCGCACAUCAACCUGGAACUUGAGAUCCGUGUUCAGAUGAUCCUCUGAAUUUCACUUCAUUUCAUUUGGAUUCGUUCAGUUCUAGCCUAACUUUAAUUUGGAUUCAUUGCUCGUUGUCACAAAUUGAGAUUACUCGGCUUAGUGGGAGCGGCGUACUAUCUUCUUGCUGACCGACCUGUGUUUGGAUGAUCAAAAUUCUGUUCAAUUUGUUCUUCUCCACGGUUCAAUUAUUCUCCCAACAAUUCUGAUUUGGAUUGUUUGCUGGUUAUCCAGAAUCUGGAAUUGCACAGGCCUAGCGGGUGCUCUUAUUUUGGCUCAGCAUGGCGGUUCUUUUUCUGUGGCUAAACUUUUUGGACCUUCUUUAUUCAAUACAGUAUUAAUUAGAACUCAGCAGACAUUAGUUUUCCCUGCCUUAGUCAUUUUCAGCUCUUGCAGAUAGUGUCUUGCAAGGGAUAUAAUUGAAAGCCAUGUGUCUACCUGACCUAGCUUCACAGUGGAGACAGACUUACUCAUCCUUUACCUCCUCAUUCGUUUUUACCUACUUUCCUAAUCCUAGUUUUCCCAUGACUGAAAUAUUUAUAGAAACGUAUCUUACUCGUUGCAGGUCGUAGUUUACGAACUCAAGUCCACCAACCUGAUAUUGAGUUUGCAGUUCUUCUAAAUCUACUAUCUUCUCAAUUCCUUGACUUAGAUAAUAAUAAUAAGAUAUCUUACUAGGUAAUAUCUUAAAUUCAGAUUUAACUGUAAAGGUGCAAUAAUGAAGCUUCAAAACUAGUGGCACAUCCUACAACCGGAAAAAACCUAAUCUCUUAUCCUCUUAUUUUUAUUUCAUUGAGGUACAUGUCUUCUCCGCCUUAGUCGGUAAUUCUCAGCUCUUGUAGAUACUGACUUGAAAAUGAUAUAACUGCAGUUUGGAACCGGUGUUGUUGUCCUCCGUCAACCAUAGCCGAACUUCCUAGCUGAGACAGGCUUUUACUUGUUCCCCGUCCAUCUUUGAUCCAUGCUUUAGCUAUUUAAAAGUAACGUUUUCCCCGAACUGAAAAUUUAUAGAAAGGUCUCUUGCUCGUUGCAGGUUGUAGUUGAUGACCUCGAGUCCAACCUGAUGAUGAAUUUGUUUGCAGAUCUUUGAAAUCUACGAGUAUUGUUUCAAUUCAUCACAAACUUAUAUAACCUACAAAUUAUCUUACUAGGCAAUAUUUAUAAUACAGAUUCAAAUGCAAAGGUGCAUGAAUCGAAGGACAAUCCGAAGCUUUCAACUAAUGGCACAUCCUACAACCGAAAGGCUCUAGCCCUCCUAUUUUUUCAUUUCGUUUAGCUACUUGGCCAUGUCUUUGAUAUAGGUUUUUGCUCCUGCCCUUCUUGUGGUUGCAGAUUAUUCUUUAGCCGGUAAUGACAUGGAAUCUGUUAAAUAUUUUGGUUUGUGAUCUUGCUCUCCAUGAUCCUACUAGUUAUCCGUACUCUUGAUCCCUGUGUUCUUUUGGUCUUCUGCAAGUGUGGGUUGCAGGAUAUAACAGUUAGGAUUUUAUGCCCAAACCUAUGUACAUAAAUCAGGUCAGUGUCUCGUAGACGGUCUGUUUGUUUCAUUUGUUAUCGCCGCCUCCGUGAGUUGGCUUGCAGGAUGGAUCUGGAUCUGGUCUGGAAAUGAAGCUCAGUGUGGUGUAUGAACAGUAUGUUGAAGUGGACUUGAGGCAGGUCAGUUUACCAUGUUUGGUCACAUCGAUCUUGGUGACGCCAGAUUUGAGUGGAUAUACCUUAAGUUCUUUGAUUUAUUUUCGUCUGAUGGCUCAACAUGAGUACCAUUAUCCCUCGGUACAAGGUGCAUUCUCGUUGGUUCUUGUUGUUACAGCUGAUCUCCGCUUGUGGGGUAUGUGUUUGUUCUCCUUCAGAUGCCGGAGGGUGAUGGUUGCUGAGUGAUGAAUCAGAGGGUGGAGGUUUGUUUUAAUGUUCAUGGUUAUUUGGAUUGGUUAUGGCUCAAUGCCUUGCAUGAUAUAAGAUAGCAUCUUGUGUGCUGAAGUUUUUGUUUUGGAUUGAAGUCGGAUUGGAUCAUUAAACAUGGAAUGGAGAUCAGAGAAUUUGCGAACUGCGUUUGGAUAAUUGAUCCUCAAUUUAGUUUCUUUGUUUGCACAGUCGAAUUUAGCUUACAGCAUCUCUCAUAUGGAACUGUUGGUUCUCCAGCUAUUGGACUUAUGGGGCUUUCUGGAAGGGCUUUGACUGUUGGAUGGGGUUUCUUCUCUUGACUUCAUCUUUCCUGAUUUGCUUUGAACAUUGCACUUCCUAGACAUUGUUUUCUAUGGCCUUGGUAACUACAUGUCCUUGCAGAUAUUUACAUGGACGAGAGAUAAUAUAGUUUGCUAUCUGGAACUGGUGUUUCCCUAACUGAUAUCUCCCAGCCAAGCAGGCUUAUCCUAUCCCCUCAAUGUUUGAUGCAUCAUUUAGCUGUUCAUAGGCAGCUUCGUUUCCCCAAAGCAGAAGUUGAAACGAAGGUUUCUUGGUCAUUGCAGGUCCUAACUGACGAUUUAGGUCCAACCUGAUGAUGAAUUGAAUUGCUGGAUGUAGAAGGUUUGAAGGUUGCUACAGGGCAUCAAUCUAGACGGACCAUCCUACAGCCGAAAAAACCCAGUGCUCUCUAUUUGAUCUCUUGAAGAAGCUUCUGUUGUCUUAGCUGCCUUGUGCUUGUAGCAUUGAUUGUGUUUUUUUGCCUCCGCCUUCUUGUGGUUGCAGAUUGUUUAGCCCAAGCUAUGCUGGUAGCCAUCAAAAUAUGUCGCAUUUUUGGUUUCUGAUCCUCUCCUGACUUCUAUAGUUGGGUAAUGUUGAUGGCUUGAUACGCAGAAAGAGGUUAGGGAUUAUCGCUAUAUAUACUAAAAACAAUGGAGAGUUGAAGCUUCUCGACUCGAAGCUUGAACAAACAGUUUGGCAUGGACACUACUACUCAUCAUGUCUUUGAUUAGUGUCAUUUCCACUGAAUAUGAUUCCGAUGAUCCCGACUUAUUGGUAUGGAAUUGAUUUUCAGAAGUGAUGUUCUUACCAUUGGUGGUUCUCCAGUGGGAUCUGGAUUACGAAUCUUCAAUGCAUCUUCUUGGUUUGCUGGGGAACUUCCUAUUUUAAUUUGACAACUUUGUAAAAUAGUUGGGCUAAGUUUGAUGGUUUUACUGCUGAUUGUAUACUUUCAACUCAAGUAGCUUGUACAUAUGUCAGUUUGUUUCGUUCUGCAUUCGUCAUGGAUUUGAAGAUACAAAGCCUCCACACAUCUUACGGUCCUCUAAUGGUUAAUUUGAUCUGGAUUAUGGAAUCUUCAAUUACAUAUUCUCAAAUCUUCAAUUACAUAUUAUUGGUUUUCCCGGA